UAAUCUUAUUAAAAAAAAUAACAGCAUUGCAGGUUAGGGGCUUGUAUUAAACAAUUCACUAUAAGGUGAAUUCGGCACUUGCGACUAAUAAGAUUUGAUUUGAUUUGAUUUGAAAUAGCACCCUAUUAGUGAUUUUGAACAGUGCCCUAUGGGAAUAAGGUGUGACUUGGGACACAACCGUAAUGCUGGCCAAAUGAUAGUGCAUGCAGCCACACCCACAUUAAUCUGUGCAUGCAGGGCAAGCAAUGUUUACAGGCCGAGAUAUGAAACUUCUUAUUUUAUUACAGUCCAUAAAAAUAAGCUUUCGCAACUUCUAAAUAUAAAUUAAAAGGAGUGAACCGAAACAUAUUUUACUAGGUCAUAAUGCAUGUGUUUAUGGCGAAUGGGUAACAACAUGUGUCACCAGUUUUAUGAUUUUUCUGGUUAUGAAUGAGGGAUAUGGGUCACAUGAACAGGCUACAUGUUGGACGACAAUAAUAAUAUUUACAGUAAUAUUGUGUCAUCGCAUGUUUGACAUAAUCUCACACUUAACCUACAGUAGCUUUAGCCUGAGUGCCAGUCUGUAUGUGCUUUAAUUAUACCAACUCUUUGUCACUCAAUGUCAGGCCAAAUGUUUGGCUUGACGCACAAACAGAUGUGGGACCAGCCUACAUAACUCUCUGUCCGCCUGUCCUAUAGGACCAUGAGGCAGACAUGUGACCAGCCUACAUAACUCUCUGUCCGCCUGUCCUAUAGGACCAUGAGGCAGACAUGUGACCAGCCUACAUAACUCUCUGUCUGCCUGUCCUAUAGGACCAUGAGGCAGACGUGGCACCAGCCUACAUAACUCUCUGUCUGCCUGUCCUAUAGGACCAUGAGUCAGAUGUGGGACCAGCCUACAUAACUCUCUGUCUGCCUGUCCUAUAGGACCAUGAGGCAGACGUGGGACCAGCCUACAUAACUCUCUGUCUGGCUGUCCUAUAGGACCAUGAGUCAGACAUGGGACCAGCCUACAUAACUCUCUGUCUGCCUGUCCUAUAGGACCAUGAGGCAGACGUGGGACCAGCCUACAUAACUCUCUGUCUGCCUGUCCUAUAGGACCAUGAGUCAGACGUGGGACCAGCCUACAUAACUCUCUGUCUGCCUGUCCUAUAGGACCAUGAGUCAGACGUGGGACCAGCCUACAUAACUCUCUGUCUGCCUGUCCUAUAGGACCAUGAGUCAGAAGUGGGACCAGCCUACAUAACUCUCUGUCUGCCUGUCCUAUAGGACCAUGAGGCAGCUUGUUUUAAAGAGGCCAAAUACCCCAAAAUUGUUACAUCUGCUCCUGCCACGCCCUCUACUUCUCAUCCUGUGUCUCUCUAACCUGCCACCACUCCCCCAGUGCUCUCUCCCUCUUCCUCUCUGUGUGUGUGUGAUUGUGUGGACGGAGACAGGUGUGCUGGAGGCACAGCAGAUCCCCACCAGCUGCAACCUGAUCCAUAUUCAAGAUGUCUACAAAUACUCAGCCCUGCCACUUCAUUGGACUAGUAACCGAAAAGUUGAAAGAUCGAAUCCCCGGGCGGACAGGUUCUACACGCGCUGACUUUGGCCCCUGUCUCCAGUCCCACAUCUCGUCAGUCCUGCUACUCUGUCCUGGACUCCCCACUCCACUGCGUCCUUGAAUUCCUCUCCGGGCCUGCUUACCCAGUCCCAACUCCCCUCGCUCCAGCCUCAGCCUCCACUCCAGGCUUCCUGAAACCUGCCCGAGCUUCCCCUGGCCUGCACCCUAUCCCCCCCCCCCGUGUUUUAAUAAAUACCUUGGUUACCUGAUCCCA
Molecule: long non-coding RNA, 1796 nt
Organism: Oncorhynchus kisutch (coho salmon)
Lineage: Eukaryota; Metazoa; Chordata; Actinopteri; Salmoniformes; Salmonidae
Exons: 2
Source: RefSeq, a predicted model, not a curated record